RNAcentral lists this small RNA (432 nucleotides) under Pongo abelii (Sumatran orangutan). RNAcentral describes it as "processed transcript". Lineage: Eukaryota; Metazoa; Chordata; Mammalia; Primates; Hominidae. The record is from RNAcentral.
CAUUUUAAAAGCCUCUUUUCAAAUAAAGCAAAUGCAUGAAAAAGAUCAUUGCUCUAGGUUUAUGAUCAAGAAUAGAAGCGGAAGGGAAAUAAAGAGUGAAAGGAAAAUAAAGAGUGAAAGGAAAUAAAGAGUGAAAGGUCACCAUGGAACUUCAUAGACUGAUUCCCCAGAGGCAUCUAAAUCACAUCAAUGAACAAAACUGAACAAGAUCCCUGCCUUUAUGCCACUCAAAUUCUAGCUGGGGGAGACACACAAUAAGCAAUAAGCUUAAGUGAAUAAAUUAUAUUCUAUGUUAGAAUAUAAGAAAACUUAGAAAAAAGUAAAGCUGAACAGGGUAAGAGGGACUAGGAAUGGUGAGGGGUAGAAGCUAGGUGCAAUAUUAAAUAGCAUGGUCACAGUAGGCUCCAUUGAGAAAGUGACAUUUGAGCAAAU